GCUGUUCUGGGCACACCUCAGCUAUAAAAUGGUUGUCUGUCCAGGACUAUGGCUUAGUGGUUAGUGAAAGAGAAGUUAGUAUAGAAGCCAUUAUGUCUAACCAAAGAGCUGUUAAAAUUAUUUUCUGGCGGCAGCCGUUACCGAGGUGCGAACCCAGUACCUACCAGUCUUAAGUCUGAUGGCAAAACCACUACUACACAACCGAUAUUAAAUAAAUGACCUUAAGCCUGAGAAGUUCUGGGUUCGUAUCUCAGUACAGACUUCCAACCUAAGUUAUGUUUUAACUUUAAUAUCUUAGUACAGAUGUGUAAAAUACAGGCGCAGAUCCGAAGUUGGGGUAGGGGUAUUUGCAUUUAGACACACACACACACACACACACACACACACACACACACACACACCGUAAAAGAUACCUGAUCCACAUCUGUGUUCUACUGCACUUGACUGUCCUCUCACAAACCACUGAUUUCUGUCAUGAACCAACAACCUAGAUAGCUGAAGUGUAUGCUCAAGAAAGCGUGCUUGAACCUUAAGUGUUGAUUAUAAGCAGGAAAUAAUCGGAACAGCUGGAAUAUUUGUCUACGGAGGGUAUGCAGCGAUAUAUAUACAUUAAAAAGUUACCUACAACAUUCCGAAGUACACUAACAUAAAUUAUAUAAAUACAUGUUAGUCCACUUAAAAUACAUUUUAACGCACAGUUGCUGUCCUAUCCGAAAAAUACGUUAAAAGUUCACAUUCAGUUUUAAAAUGUUAACUAAUGAAGACACUAUAUAUAUUACCGCACCAUUAUUCUUAUUUUUAUACUGUCACCCUACUUAUUUUAGGCUAGUUACGAUGUUAAUUUAGUGCGAAGUAACCACAAAUGCAUGUAGUUCAUAAACAUUACAGGCCCGUAGGAACUAUAUCUGAAGUGGUGGGGGAAGAGCACAAUCUAGGAAAGGGGGUUCAGUCUCUAGUGGGGGAAAACGCCAGAUUUAUGUAUAUAUAUAUAUAUAUAUAUAUAUAUAUAUAUAUAUAUAUAUAUAUAUAUAUAUAUA
Gigantopelta aegis is the source of this 1037-nucleotide long non-coding RNA. RefSeq lists it as uncharacterized. NCBI's taxonomy places the organism in Eukaryota, Metazoa, Mollusca, Gastropoda, Neomphalida, Peltospiridae. The record is from RefSeq and is a predicted model, not a curated record. The transcript is spliced from 2 exons.